RNAcentral lists this long non-coding RNA (253 nucleotides) under Canis lupus familiaris (dog). RNAcentral describes it as "lncRNA (ENSCAFG00805000841.1, ENSCAFG00845022846.1)". Lineage: Eukaryota; Metazoa; Chordata; Mammalia; Carnivora; Canidae. The record is from RNAcentral.
GGAAAAUUUGAAACUGCCUAAUUCGGUCUAAUUACACUGUUGAUGAAAUCAAGACUUUCCCAAAGAUCUUCGUGUGCCUUAUUUUUAUUUUGCCUCCCACAUUUACUUAGGAAUUGUGUGGAACACUUGGUAUGAUGGAGAGAUGGCUUAUACAGUGAGGAGUUCAAACACAGUCCAUGGUGACCAGGAACGUGCUGAACUGGACAGAGACGAUAUGAUAAUUGGGGCUUCCAGUGUUUUCUGAAGGCACAGG